RNAcentral lists this ribosomal RNA (482 nucleotides) under uncultured bacterium. RNAcentral's name for it is "partial 16S ribosomal RNA". It matches the Rfam family "Bacterial small subunit ribosomal RNA", at positions 28 to 507 of the family's 1533-position model. The record is from RNAcentral.
GAUGAACGCUAGCGGCAGGCCUAAUACAUGCAAGUCGGACGGGAUUCAGGAGCUUGCUUCUGAUGAGAGUGGCGCACGGGUGCGUAACACGUAUGUAACCUACCUUUAUCAGGGGGAUAGCCUCUCGAAAGAGAGAUUAAGCCCGCAUAAAAUCACAGCACAGCAUUGUGUAAUGAUCAAAUAUUUAUAGGAUAAAGAUGGGCAUGCGGAACAUUAGCUAGAUGGCGGGGUAACGGCCCACCAUGGCGACGAUGUUUAGGGGAUCUGAGAGGAUGGCCCCCCACACUGGUACUGAGACACGGACCAGAAGCAUACGGGAGGCAGCAGUAAGGAAUAUUGGUCAAUGGGCGGAAGCCUGAACCAGCCAUGCCGCGUGCAGGAAGACGGCCCUACGGGUUGUAAACUGCUUUUAUACGGGAAUAAACCCAGAUACGUGUAUCUGGCUGAAUGUACUGUAAGAAUAAGGAUCGGCUAACUCCGUG